RNAcentral lists this unclassified non-coding RNA (298 nucleotides) under Basidiomycota sp. RNAcentral describes it as "partial contains small subunit ribosomal RNA, internal transcribed spacer 1, and 5.8S ribosomal RNA". The stretch from base 1 to 47 matches the Rfam family "Eukaryotic small subunit ribosomal RNA", at positions 1785 to 1831 of the family's 1831-position model. Lineage: Eukaryota; Fungi; Basidiomycota. The record is from RNAcentral.
AAAGUCGUAACAAGGUUUCCGUAGGUGAACCUGCGGAAGGAUCAUUAUUGAAACUUCUUUGGAAAUAGUACUGUUGCUGGCCUUGUAAUGAGGUAUGUGCACGUCUAUUGCCAAUCUAUUCAUCCACCUGUGCACUUUUUGUAGGAGUUCUUUGAGGUUAUUUUGUACUUGUGCAAUUUGGCUUUGAAAGGCUUCUAUGUUCUUAUAAACUCAUUAGUAUGUCUUUGAAUGUUUUUUAUUGGGACUUGAUUGGCCCUUUAAACUUGUACAACUUUUAGCAACGGAUCUCUUGGCUCUC